UACAGAGGUCUCAAGCGUUGCUCGGAUUCAUUGGGCGUAAAGGGUGCGUAGGUGGCGCCGUAAGUCAGGUGUGAAAUUUCGGAGCUUAACUCCGAAACUGCAUUUGAUACUGCGGUGCUUGAGGACUGGAGAGGAGACUGGAAUUUACGGUGUAGCAGUGAAAUGCGUAGAGAUCGUAAGGAAGACCAGUGGCGAAGGCGGGUCUCUGGACAGUUCCUGACACUGAGGCACGAAGGCCAGGGGAGCAAACGGG
RNAcentral lists this ribosomal RNA (253 nucleotides) under uncultured bacterium. RNAcentral describes it as "partial 16S ribosomal RNA". It matches the Rfam family "Bacterial small subunit ribosomal RNA", at positions 524 to 776 of the family's 1533-position model. The record is from RNAcentral.